GACGAACGCUGGCGGCGUGCUUAACACAUGCAAGUCGAACGGAAAGGCCCCUUUGGGGGUACUCGAGUGGCGAACGGGUGAGUAACACGUGAGUAACCUGCCCUUGACUUCGGGAUAACUUCAGGAAACUGGGGCUAAUACCGGAUAGGAAUCCUUGCUGCAUGGUGGGGGUUGGAAAGCUUCGGCGGUUUUGGAUGGACUCGCGGCUUAUCAGCUUGUUGGUGGGGUAGUGGCUUACCAAGGCUUUGACGGGUAGCCGGCCUGAGAGGGCGACCGGCCACAUUGGGACUGAGAUACGGCCCAGACUCCGACGGGAGGCAGCAGGGGGAAAGAUUGCACAAUGGGCGGAGGCCUGAUGCAGCAACGCCGCGUGCGGGAUGACGGCCUUCGGGUUGUAAACCGCUUUCAGCAGGGGCGAAGCUUGUGGUGACGGUACCUGCAGAAGAAGCACCGGCUAACUACGUG
RNAcentral lists this ribosomal RNA (465 nucleotides) under uncultured bacterium. Its description in RNAcentral is "partial 16S ribosomal RNA". It matches the Rfam family "Bacterial small subunit ribosomal RNA", at positions 28 to 507 of the family's 1533-position model. The record is from RNAcentral.